UAAACCUUCAGCCAGCAGCCCUGUCACCACGCAGGGGCCGCGCUAUGCAGACUGGGAAGAGCAGACAGGAAGCUCCUCCCCCUCUCUCACUCCACUGUAUGCUGCUGCUGGACCUUGUGGAGCAGGCCCGCUGUGUGUGUGUGUGUACAGGCCCGGACACCACCAGUAUGGAAGACUUACCUGCCCAGUGCCCACUGCUGAUGCUGCCCUUUUAAAGUUGUGAAUGCAAAACACACUGAAGAGACUGCAGCCGGCGCGCACCUCCUUGUACAGCUUACGGUGACAUCAUCACAAGCAUGUGUGACAUCACAGGGUUCUAAACCAUCUUCAGGUUACUGAGUUCCCUACUAGAAGACGGUGGGGUGGUUAACCUGUUCAUCGAAAGACGGUUUCGGUUAUCCUGUUGGAUCGAAGGAUUGUUUCAAGUCGAUGGAGCUGGUCGCUUCGAGUUUUGGAUUGGAGAAGGCGAGGUGGUCAAGAAAUUCGUUGGCUUUUUAGAGGGUUCUGAGUUUUAUUGGACUGUUCGCAUCCAGAAAGAGGAAGAAGGUGGAGUUUCAGUGGGUUUUAUAUGAUGCAAGUUGGAUGGGAUUGGUGGAUAUGAUUAAGGGGUGCGGUUAGGUUACUUGGUAACCUGCAUCCUAUGUGUUUUUUCUUUCACUAUGGAAGUUUUGUGCAUCUUUCUUUCUGC
Molecule: long non-coding RNA, 688 nt
Organism: Hyla sarda
Lineage: Eukaryota; Metazoa; Chordata; Amphibia; Anura; Hylidae
Exons: 3
Source: RefSeq, a predicted model, not a curated record